UACGAAGGGUGCGAGCGUUAAUCGGAAUUACUGGGCGUAAAGCGUGCGCAGGCGGUCUGCUAAGACAGGUGUGAAAUCCCUGGGCUCAACCUAGGAAUUGCGCUUGUGACUGGCGGGCUAGAGUACGGUAGAGGGGGGUGGAAUUCCUGGUGUAGCAGUGAAAUACGUAGAGAUCAGGAGGAAAACCGAUGGCGAAGGCAGCCCCCUGAGCCUGUACUGACGCUCAGGCACGAAAGCGUGGGGAGCAAACAGG
This 253-nucleotide ribosomal RNA is filed under the name uncultured bacterium. RNAcentral describes it as "partial 16S ribosomal RNA". It matches the Rfam family "Bacterial small subunit ribosomal RNA", at positions 524 to 776 of the family's 1533-position model. The record is from RNAcentral.